CCCUUGUAAUAUUGUGGAUCAUGUGCCUUGAUGAAUACAGUUACAAAGAGAGAAAAACAAGGAGAAAAGUUAGUUUUCCGGGCAAUAAAAGAAUCAUAAAUUCUUAAGAAAAAUAAACAGUUAAAUUCAAAUAAGGAAGAAGGGUAUGGGAUAAAGCAUGCUUGGACUAAUUCAUAAGUUUGUAAUGGUAAGAGCCUAAAGAUGUCCCCAGUAGAGUCGCCUGUCCCGCCCCCUUUUUCCUAUGCGGGGAGAAGUCCGAGCUUCGACAUUCACGGUGUGUAAUGACUCAUUCCCUUUUGAGAAUUGAGUAUUUGAAGAGUUGCCAUGUAACGAAUUAAGGUGUAUUAGGGCACCUAGAUUAAUUAACUCUUGGAUUGGAUUGCAUUACCAGAGAUUAGGGUAAGGGCUUGAAGUAACCUCGAAGGGAAGGUGUUAGACACCACUCUUGGUCCACAACUGUGGGUCCCCGCCAAAUUUACAUUUACAAAUUGGUCCAUACAAAUAGUUGAAUCAAAUAUGUUGUUUGUAAAGCACAUUGAACAAUUCAAGUAGUGAAAUAAAGGUUCGAACAAGUUAUAUAAAAAAGGUUUAAAUAAGGAGAGGAUUUGGGAUAAGGAGGGGUCCUAGGUUGUUUAUCUGAUAGGAUCACCCCACAAUAAUGUCCGGUAAACACUCUUCAAUAAAGGAUACACAUGACAUUAUUGUGUAUUCAUCAUAUCCCAUGUCUACCCUUCCCAUCCCCUUAUUGGUCAUGAAAGCGAGUGUUUGGACACUGAUUCCUAUUGUGUGCUGCUACCCGUCCCUUUUUAGUAGUCCCGGAGGGUGUUAGGACCUCUACCUAUGGAUAGUUUUAGACGUACCCCUAAGGUUUAGAAAUGGGAAAACUCUAAGGAAACAGUCAAAAUACAUAGGACUUUUACAUAAUGGGAGAAAUUGAGAGGCUCACAGUUUCCUCCUCGAACAUACAUACAAGCAGCACAUCUCAAGCACAAUUAAGGUCUUUAUUAAUUGAAGUGCUAAAGCAGAAUCUUUAAGUGAAUAUGCCGACAUUGACAAAAAUUUAUGCCCAAAGUUAUAUCUUAGCUUUUUCCUAAAGGACUUAUUUUAAAAUUAUGAGGAUUAGAAACGUUAAAUGCCAUAAACAACUUCAGGGAAUGCAGUUUUUGAGAAUGCCCUAGGGCUUGUCUAUAUGCAGUAUAUUGUAUUUUACUAUAUUUAUGUUAAUGAAAGGUUUUUGAAAUAGACCCUUUUAAUACCUGUAGGCAAGAUAUCUAAUGAGAUUAAAGCGAUUUUAAAAGAACUGGUUUCAGGAAAUGUUGACACUUAAUAAGACCAGUUUUAAGAAGUAAACUAGGCAAAAUUAAAUUGAUUUAUUUGGAUAAUUAUAUUAUCAGACAUAAUUGCGAAUGGAAAUCCCUAUAGGAAAGGCAUCUAGUCAUAUUACAUGUUUUACUCAAUUUGCAGUAACAAAAGGAAAGACAUAUUAGAACUAAAUCGGAAUUGAGUCCUAUAGGCAUGAUAUCUAUACUUUAAUUUGAUUUAAGACAUGACGGUUUGGAACCUAGAAACAUGGUCUCUAACAUGUCAAAUGCAGAAUCUUAUGAACUUGGUUUCUAUCUGAAACAAACGACAUUGGAAGUGAAAAAUUAUAGGCAUGAUUUCUAUUUGAUGCAAACGAAAUUAGAGGUGAAAUCCUAUAGGCAUGAUUUCUAUUAUACAAAAUCAAUCAGAUUCAACAAUAGUAAAACCCUAUGAACAUGUUUUCUAUUGAGUAAAACAGGAAGAUUUGAAAAGUAAAAUCCUAAGAGUAGGAUUUCUACUCAUAUUACCCCCACAAAGUAUACUUCUACCUACCCUUUUCACUAAAUACUCCCAAGUAUUUGUUUAUAAAUUAUUACAAACUGAUAAUGAAUUACAUAAAUGAAAUAGAAAAUAAAGAAGCUAUUCUAUAAGGAGCCUGCAAUUAGGCCCAAGUUUCCCAAAGCGUCCAAUAGUCUUACAAGCUUCAUUUCCAUAGACAAAUCAAAGUCUAGGUACAUCAAAGUUCCCUAAGGGUCUCAAGGACCCCGGGCAAUGCUUAUACCUAGACUUAGUAACCGAGCAUUGAAACAUUACAGUGUGAAAAGGCCAGGCUCAGUAUGCCACAGUUCAGAGGGCUUUCAAGAGGAUCCCAAGGCAGUACAAAUACUAGAGCGGGCAGGACUUAUUAACUAAGAGUAAAGUGGAAGUGCAGGACACAAGUUUGCAAGAAUUAUUGAAGACUGUAUUGGAAAGCCUGUUUUGAAAGCACUUAGUAAAGCAACAAAGAAUGCUUGAAAGGAGGUUGGAGUAGUAAACAAGUUUAAACACCUUAGGAAGAGAUCACACAGCUAGUUUUCAGAAUUCAAUAGUCAUACAGGGGUCAAGGGGUUUGGUGAUACAUAAACAUUUGAAUGCAAACACAUGACCCCCAACAAUUGGUCUUAAGACUGGUUUACAUAUGCUCAAAGAUAGUUGACACAGGCAUAAUCACAACCAGUCAAGAAGAAUACAAAUACAUAGAAGGGUGAUAAGGAUUCGGGAUUCACAAAAAUUGUAAGUACACCGUAGGUAAAAGAUAAUUGUCCAGGCAUGCUUUGAAUUACAUAAUGGAAUACAUUGAUUUAAUGGAAAGGGGAGUCAUACUAGCAUGCUGAUAAUGUAACUUAACCAUAAAUUUCAUAACAGAACCACAAGUAGAAGCAAGCUAGAAAUAAAAGAAACUGAAACAAUAAGAGAAGGAUAUUGUUUUUAGAGCUUUAAAUUAAACUAGGAAUACUUGUAAAGAUAGAAGUAAGCAGAAUGAAAGAACCAAAGAGCACAGAUGAUUAGCCCCGGCUUGCUACCGACUAAUAGUAGCAAAUAACACAAGAAAUAGAGGAGAACAGAGAUUUUAAUAAGAGAGGAGCUUUGAAAACAAAUUGUCCGUCUUUUGUUAAUGAAAGAGUUAAGGUAUUUGAUUACCUUAAGUUAAAGGAAUCAAAUCAUACAGGGAGAUUCAAUAUCAUAUAAGGCAAGAAAAGAAUCAGUGCAUGACUAAUAAAGAAGGAGUCAAGGUUCAAUAAGCAUAGAGUAGUCAAUUAGGACCAAAUUCAUAAAUCCUUAAUUAAGGACACAACUCAGUAGAAAUAAGUAUCAUAGCAAAUAUGGUAAGGAACAUUAGUCAACUUAAACAGACGGGGUAAAACUUCUAGGGCUUUAAAAGAAAAUCUUUCAAUCUCCACCAACUAAGAAAAUCAAAAUCAAUCAAGACAGAGUCAUGAUUCUGCAUUUUCAACAUAUAAAUAAAGGAUAUGAACAUACGUAGCAAAGGGAAAGGUUAGCCAUAUUGACAGAAAGAAACAAGAGAUGAACAAACAAAGUGAGCAUAGUCACACAAAAGUGACAUAAGUCAGCUAGGAAUUUAGUAAAACACAUUCGAAGCAUGGUGACCACGACAGAUCAACAAGAAUCAAAUAAACAGGCUAACACAAGAACUAAGGCAAAGAGAAUCAUGCUGACACACUGAACCAAAGCAAGGAAAUCAUGCUAACUCACAUAACUAAAGCAAAGAAAAUCAUGCUAACACAUAGAACCAAAGCAAAGAAAAUAUUAAAAAAUAGGUCUUUAACAGAGUCAAGUUAAAAAGCAGUAGGAGCAUAAAAUCGGUCAAAUAAGCAAGGAAAAAGGUUUAAUCAUAAGGAAAUCGGUUAAAACAAGCACAGAAGGAUCUUCGAGAAACCCUAGUUUUCAAAGAAAGUAAAAACAGUUUAAAGUGGAGGAUCUUUCAGAAGAAGCCCGAGAAUAAGAAAAUCAUAGAAGGAAACAGACUUAAAGUGUAAAAAUAACAUAGAUCUGAGUGAUUCAAAAGAGAGUUAGAGUUUCAAAGGGAAACCCAAAUAGAAACUGAAAGAACCUGUUGCAGACUUCACCAAUCGUAACUUAUAAGGUGUGAUUUUGCCCAAAAUCACACUGGAGAAGCCAUGAGUAAUAGAAACGAAAACCCUAAGUCCAAAUCGGCAUGGCCCAGGACCCUUGAAGGUCUUAGAGAUGAUGAGCAAGGUGAUGAGAGAUUCAUUGGAGGCUUGGGUUGAAAGGAUUGUCGUCGUAGAUGACUGGAGAAAGAGACAAUUAACGGAGUCUAUGGUUAAGUUUGAUAGAGGAGAGAAGAUGAGAUCAUUUAAAGGCAG
RNAcentral lists this long non-coding RNA (4187 nucleotides) under Nicotiana benthamiana. RNAcentral describes it as "long non-coding RNA (NBEN_LNC022892)". The record is from RNAcentral. Lineage: Eukaryota; Viridiplantae; Streptophyta; Magnoliopsida; Solanales; Solanaceae.